UCUGGAUCGUCGCAAGACGGACUAAAGCGAAAGCAUUUGCCAAAGGUGUUUUCAUUAAUCAAGAACGAAAGNAGAGGUUCGAAGGCGAUUAGAUACCGCUGUAGUUCUAACCAUAAAUGAUGCCAGCCAGCGAUCCGCCGAAGUUUCAUAAUUUUAACCCGGUGGGCAGCUCCCGGGAAACCAAAGCUUUCGGGCUCCGGGGGGAGUAUGGUUGCAAAGCUGAAACUUAAAGGAAUUGACGGAAGGGCACCACCAGGAGUGGAGCCUGCGGCUUAAUUCGACUCAACACGGGAAAACUCACCAGGCCCGGACACUGGAAGGAUUGACGGAUUAACAGCUCUUUCUCGAUUCGGUGGGUGGUGGUGCAUGGCCGCUCUUAGUUGGUGGAGCGAUUUGUCAGGUUAAUUCCGGUAACGAACGUAACUCACCGGCGGUAUAUAUAGCCGCACGAGAUUGAGCAAUAGCAGGUCUGUGAUGCCCUUAGAUGUCCUGGGCCGCACGCGCGCUACACUGAAGGGAUCAGCGUGUCCUCCUUGGCCUAACGGCCCGGGUAACCCGAUGAAACCCCUUCGUGAUAGGGAUUGGGGUUUGCAAUUCUCCCCCAUGAACGAGGAAUUCCUAGUAAAAGCGAGUCACCAGCUCGCGUUGAUUGCGUCCCUGCCCUUUGUACACACCGCCCGUCGCUACUACCGAUGGAUGAUUUGGUGAGGUCUUCGGACUGGUGCGCGGAAGCUCUCACGGGCAUCCGACGCGUUGGAAAGUUUGACCGAAUUUGAUCAUUUAGAGAAGUAAA
Molecule: ribosomal RNA, 793 nt
Filed under: Chyrandra centralis
Lineage: Eukaryota; Metazoa; Arthropoda; Insecta; Trichoptera; Limnephilidae
Description: SSU rRNA
Rfam family: Eukaryotic small subunit ribosomal RNA
Source: RNAcentral